ACGGUGCUGCACAUCCUCUGGGGGCAACAUAUCACACAUACAGGACACAUGGGCUGGUAUGAUAGACACUUUCGGUUCUCACAUCGGCUAUUUCUAAAGGUCAAAGAGGGGGUCAUUCGACUUCUAAUGAGUGUUUCUUUAGGUUCAGAGGACAGAAGAAGGGUCAAACUACCACCAGGGUCAUAAAACUACCCCUGGAAAUGCCCUAAACUCCUACGAAAGCCUUGUCAAAUAUGUGUUUCCUAGGUUCAGAGGACAGAAGAAGGGUCAAACUACCACCAGGGUCAUAAAACUACCCCUGGAAAUGCCCUAAACUCCUACGAAAGCCUUGUCAAAUAUGUGCUUCCUAGGUUCAGAGGACAGAAGAAGGGUCAAACUACCACCAGGGUCAUAAAACUACCCCUGGAAAUGCCCUAAACUCCAAUGAAAGCCUUGUCAGAUAUGUGAGUCCUAGGUUCAGAGGACAGAUGAAGGGUCAAACUACCACCAGGGUCAUAAAACUACCCUUGGAAAUGCCCUAAACUCCUAUGAAAGCCUUGUCAAAUAUGUGACAUGGCAAGUUAGGUGAAUUGGUUAACCUCUCUCCCAGUCUUGCCGUUCAACCUGACAACAGCUGGGCAUUAGGACGCUGGCAGACUGACCUGACCACCCCUGUCUGUUCCCGAGGGCGUCGAGAUUCAAUGAAUAACUCCACAUUCACAUCAACAUGACAACUUCAAUGUGCAUAUCACAGCAUCAAGGGCUUCAGACGAGGAGGUGAUGAGUGUGCUGAGGGAGGGGGUGUGGGCACAUCAAGAGGAGGGAGAGUGUGUUAAGUGUGCUGAGGGAGGGGGUGUGGGCACAUCAAGAGGAGGGAGAGUGUGU
Molecule: long non-coding RNA, 864 nt
Organism: Eriocheir sinensis (Chinese mitten crab)
Lineage: Eukaryota; Metazoa; Arthropoda; Malacostraca; Decapoda; Varunidae
Exons: 3
Source: RefSeq, a predicted model, not a curated record